GCCAGCCUGGUCAGAAUGGACAAAGGCAGCACAUCUCAGAAUCUUGUUACGACAAUACGAGGCAAAUGUGAAUGGAGUAAUACUACAUCGUUAUGUGUAAGAUAAGACGUUAACAUGACAAGGGUGAGAUGAAAGAUACUAAGGGCUAGCCAGACUAGAAUAAAAGUUAACUAGGCCUACCACGAAAAGUUCAUUCAUAAACGUUUUGACGGUCUUUCGAAUGGUUAUCGGAUGGUGUGCUUGCUUGCUUAAAUAUCAUAAAGUUCGCCACAAAGUGAUCACGAAAUGAUCUCCGUAUUAAUAACAGUUUCGUGGUUUGUUACUCGUUUGAAUAAACGUAUAGUUUUGACAUCCCUUUCAAAUGACACGCGGAAGUUUUGAAUAUUUGUUGUACCACGAGCUAUCACGAAAUUAUGCUGGGCCAAAAGGUGUUUAUACAGUAGUUUCUUCCUGUGCUGCGUUGUGCACGUCUGUUUCAUCAUCUGAGCUAUCAGUUGUGUUUCUUUGAAGCAAAGAUGUAUAGAAUAGCACUGAAAGUCGGAGGUGUCAUAUUUGUUCAACCUGGUGUUAAACGUAAUUUCAAUUCUUGACCAGUGCAUGUAAAGAAAUUGAAAAUAAAACCGACUUGACUUGUCAUUGGGUCUGAUUUUAAAUGUGCCAUAUAGUUCAAUGUGGGAGCAGGUUCACACACUAAAUAAGACACUAAGGUCAAGCACAAGCAGAUUAAAAAAAAAAAAAUCCAGGGCAGAUUAGAGCAGACGUUUCAGGUUGCUGCCAUCAGAGAGUAUUGACUUGACCUUAGUGUCUUUAGUGUGCUCCCACAUUGAGCUCUACUUUUUGGGUCCAUGCACCUACUUAUUUCUAAACAUCUAGAGCGCAACAAUACCCCUGCCUCCUGAUGUGCCAUAUAACCUGUAUCUCUCCAAGUGUGUGUGUGUGAGAGAGAGAGAAUGUGUGCACGCAGAUAUAAGAAGUUGGGGUUGAUGAUCCACAUGAUGGUGAUGGACCAGGACAGCUCUGGACCUCCUGACUGGCAGCUCCAUCCUCAACCUCUCUUCCUGCCCUUCACACAUGUGCAGGCAGCCAGUUUUCUGAAAGAUGGUUGAUGUCAGUACCAACAUGUUGUGAUGGAGGCUUCCACCUGAGCUGAACACAGAAACUUGCACACAGUGUUGGAAGCAGUCGUUCCUGCUCAGCAUCGAUAUGCCAGUAAUGGGUUUGAUGAGCCACAGCAUGGUGAUGGGCAAUCAGCAUCAGGACCAGGGCAGCUCACAAGGAGAACCUCCUGCCCUGCCUCGUCAUCCUCAACCUCCCAUCUCCCUGCUCUUCACACAUGUGCAGGCACGGAGCCAGUUUUCAGAGGGAGGGCUGAUGACACCAGCAACUUUGGUGAACCUGAUCAACCCAGCACCAACCACUGUGCCCCUCCUCCUCUGCCAACUGCACCACAUGGCUCCACCAUCUCAAAAAGGCACAGACACUACUCCUACUACUUCCUGCGAAGGAUGAGAGAAGAGCCGACCGCCCCACAUCGGCACUCACCACCUUCUACAGGGGUGUCAUUGAGAGCAUCCUGACCAGCAGCCUCUCUGUCUGGCAGCCGUCAAGCUGAAGACUAGAAGGCAGUACAGAGAGUGUGGUGAGAACGGCAGAAAAGCUCAUAAGAUCACCCCUACCAGCCAUUCAGGAUCUGUACACUUCACACUGUUCCAAGAGGGCAAUGAACAUCAUAAAGACACAACUCAUCCAGCAUACAGACUGUUCUCCCUACUAC
Molecule: long non-coding RNA, 1774 nt
Organism: Engraulis encrasicolus (European anchovy)
Lineage: Eukaryota; Metazoa; Chordata; Actinopteri; Clupeiformes; Engraulidae
Exons: 4
Source: RefSeq, a predicted model, not a curated record